Long non-coding RNA from Homo sapiens (human), 1168 nucleotides. Lineage: Eukaryota; Metazoa; Chordata; Mammalia; Primates; Hominidae. The record is from Ensembl.
CUUCCUCCUUCCUGCUCAGCCCAAAGGCAGGAGUCAUGGAACCCCAGGAAAGGACGGAACAGAACAGGACAGGGCCCCCAGCCCCAUCUUUAUCUCACCGGCUGCUGCUGGCUGCCAAGCCUCCCCUGAAUGGGGGAGGGUGGUCUGUGUGAGUCAGCGGAGGCACGAAGUGGAGGAAGACGGGAGCCUCUGCCAGGCCCGUUGAGCGUGGCCUCAGAAAUGCGCCGCUGGGUUAGGGUCUCCCCGACCGAGGCUCGAAUCCAGGUCGAAGGGUCGCCGGAGCGAUGGUUGGAGAAUGUGGAAGGAGCUGGAGGACACCCGAGUAUUCUUAAAGCAAUCCCCAUGGCCAAAAUCAACAGCUGAUCUGGAUACCAUCAAGACACCUGAAAUCUUAUCAUGAGCCAGAUGCUGAGGAAGAGACUCCGGGAGGAUCCCGAGGACGGCCCAGUUGCAGCCAUGUUGAGACUGACGCUGAGGAGGACCCCAACUGUCACGAGCAACACCUGUCGAACACAGCCACCCACCUGGGGACAGAUCAAGAAGCUGUCACAGAUGGCAGAAGAAAACCUGAGGAAAGCGGGACAACCAGUCACAAUGAGUAAUUUCAUGGUAGCUAUGAUAGCAGUUAUCACCACUGCUUCUGCAGAUGUGGAUCCUAACUCCUGCGAGAAGUAACUCACAGUGACAAAGCUGCCUUUGCUUUUAUCGAGUUGCAAAUCAAAGAAGGGGGGACAUGUUGGGAACAGGCCCCCCAAGAUCUGGCCAUAAACUGGCCCCAAAACUGGCUAUAAACAAAAUCUGCAGCACUGUGACACGUUCAUGAUGGCCGUGACGCCCACGCUGGAAGGUUGUGGGUUUACCGGAAUGAGGGCAAGGGACACCUGGCCCACCCAGGGCGGAAAACCGCUUAAAGGCGUUCUUAAACCACAAACAAUAGCCUGAGUGAUCUGUGCCUUAAAGACACACUCCUGCUGCAGAUAACUAACCAGACCCACCACUUUACUUCGGCCCAUCCCUUCAUUUCCCAUAAGGGAUACUUUUAGUUAAUCUAUUAUCUAUAGAAACAAUGCUAAUGACUGACUUACUAUUAAUAAAUAUGUGGGUAAACCUCUGUUGGGGCUCUCAGCUCUGAAGGCUGUCAGACCCCUGAUUUCCCACUUCGCACCUC